CUCCUGCCUCAGCCUCCCGAGUAGCUGGGAUUACAGUUGGUGAGUUCCAUGAGGAGACUGCAACUUCUCCACCCUGUGCCCCUCCAGAUCCCUCAUGCUGCUCUGUGUCCUCCAGGGUUGGCCUGUCCAAGUUCAACAGUGGGCUUCCACACCCUCCCACUUCCAGCUGGGUUGGCCAAGGGACCCCACUAAAACAGCAUCCUGCACAAAAUAGAACAUAGCAGGCCGGGCGCAGUGGCUCACACCUGUAAUCCCAGCACUUUGGGAGGCCGAGGAGGGCGGAUCACCUGAGGUC
RNAcentral lists this long non-coding RNA (295 nucleotides) under Homo sapiens (human). RNAcentral describes it as "HSALNT0388034". Lineage: Eukaryota; Metazoa; Chordata; Mammalia; Primates; Hominidae. The record is from RNAcentral.